Molecule: ribosomal RNA, 208 nt
Filed under: Pycnococcus provasolii
Lineage: Eukaryota; Viridiplantae; Chlorophyta; Pseudoscourfieldiophyceae; Pseudoscourfieldiales; Pycnococcaceae
Description: partial Bacterial large subunit ribosomal RNA
Rfam family: Bacterial large subunit ribosomal RNA
Source: RNAcentral
GUAAAGCGCUGGAUGGGCUAGGGGGCGUCAAGCUUACUGAACCCAACCAAACUCUGAAUGCCGACGUAUUUAGUAGGGCAGUCGGACAGUGGGAGAUGACUUUCAUUGUCAAGAGGGAAACAACCCGGACUCACCGCUAAGGUCCCGAAGUGAUAGCUCAGUGGAAAACGAUGUGCGUGUGUUGAGACAGCCAGGAGGUUGGCUUAGA